GUGGUGUUUGGUUUGUUACGUGUGGUUGGCUGCGGCGUUUGCAACAACUUCCAUGCUUUCAGACCUCUUCAGUUGUGCAGCAAGGCUUGUAUCGCCUUGAGCGUAUUGUGGGUUUUCUGUGUUGACUACCUAAUCAAUGGUAUCGGUUGGAUUGAUCAAUGUUUCAUUUCGUCUAUCGUCGCAUUUGUGGCGUGAGAUGAACCUUGAUGCGGUCUCUUUGAUCCACCUUGUUGAAGCACAUGCUUUGACGUUGUGGCACAUUGAGCAUUGCUUGGUCUCUUGUAUACGGAACAUAUAGUGGGCAUGGAUCUAACGAUUCUUGUUUGCCCUCAUAUUAGCGUAACGCUUCUCUUACACGACUUGCUCCAUGUUUUAGCNUCGUACGGACGUGGUGCUAUGUCGAAGAGGAAUGCUACCUGGUUGAUCCUGCCAGUAGUCAUAUGCUUGUCUCAAAGAUUAAGC
Molecule: unclassified non-coding RNA, 462 nt
Filed under: Artemisia abyssinica
Lineage: Eukaryota; Viridiplantae; Streptophyta; Magnoliopsida; Asterales; Asteraceae
Description: partial external transcribed spacer
Rfam family: Eukaryotic small subunit ribosomal RNA (bases 414-462)
Source: RNAcentral